UACGGGGGGGGCAAGCGUUGUUCGGAAUUACUGGGCGUAAAGGGCGCGUAGGCGGCCAUCUAAGUCAGACGUGAAAUCCCUCGGCUCAACCGAGGAACUGCGUCUGAUACUGGAAGGCUUGAAUCCGGGAGAGGGAUGUGGAAUUCCAGGUGUAGCGGUGAAAUGCGUAGAUAUCUGGAGGAACACCGGUGGCGAAGGCGGCUCACUGGCCCGGUACUGACGCUGAGGUGCGAAAGCGUGGGGAGCAAACGGG
This 253-nucleotide ribosomal RNA is filed under the name uncultured bacterium. RNAcentral describes it as "partial 16S ribosomal RNA". It matches the Rfam family "Bacterial small subunit ribosomal RNA", at positions 524 to 776 of the family's 1533-position model. The record is from RNAcentral.